AGCUCCAAUAGCGUAUAUUAAAGUUGUUGCAGUUAAAACGCUCGUAGUCGGAUUUCGGGGCGGGCCGCCGGUCUGCCGAUGGGUAUGCACUGGCGGGGGCGCUCCUCCGGAGACGGCUGCUACUCUUAACUGAGCGGUGGCCGGAGACGGGAUAUUUACUUUGAAAAAAUCAGAGUGUUUCAAGCAGGCAGUCGCUCUUG
RNAcentral lists this ribosomal RNA (200 nucleotides) under uncultured eukaryote. RNAcentral's name for it is "partial 18S ribosomal RNA". It matches the Rfam family "Eukaryotic small subunit ribosomal RNA", at positions 587 to 797 of the family's 1831-position model. The record is from RNAcentral.